This 1131-nucleotide long non-coding RNA is filed under the name Apteryx haastii (Great spotted kiwi). RNAcentral describes it as "lncRNA (ENSAHAG00000018558.1)". Lineage: Eukaryota; Metazoa; Chordata; Aves; Apterygiformes; Apterygidae. The record is from RNAcentral.
AAAUCACAGCUUAAGUUUUCUGGUCUCCCACUGCACUUGUCUGGCAUAUAUUGCCCUGAGCGAAAGAGAGAAAAAUCUGACUUUUUUAAGCAAGAGCCGUUUCUUCAAGUUACAAGAAUAAGGAAAGCACAGAGCGGACUGGUGGAGACAAAGCUGACAUUAAUAGCGCUUCUGGCAUGCUCUAAUCACAGCCCGGGGUCCCUGGAGCCUGAAGGAGCCGCUCUGAAGCCCCUCUCUUUGCGGCAAUGUCCAGCAGCGCUGCAGCAGGGCCCGGGCCCGGGCCCGGGUCCAGCCCCCGCCAGGCGGCGGGCACGAAGGGGGCCCGGAGGCGCCCGGGCAGCACGCCCGGCCCCCGGCGCGCUGCGGCAAGUUUCCCGAGGGGCUGCUCGAGGGCAGCUGUCGAGCUGCGCCCGUUUGACGGGGCCUGCUGCUCUGGAGCCACCGGGCACGCCGCUGUCAUCGUUUCGGUGCUUUAGCACCCGCAAGAGACAGGCCCGGUGGGGGAGAAGACCGACCAGCCCUCGCCAGCGCGGCCUCCCCCUCCCCACCGCAAGGCCCCCGCCCGCGCCGCGGCGCCCGCCGAGGAAACUCGCGCAGAGACAACUCGAGGGGCUCAAAACCCGCCCGAGGCGAAGAGAAAUACAACAACAACCGCCCCCGACCUCCGCGGCGCCGGGCGGGAAGAGUCCCCAGGCGCCGAGACGACGUAACGGCAGCCCCAGGGAAACGGCGCCAACGGCCGGCGCGGUUGCCAUGACAAACCGUUACAUCCGCUGCGCUCCCACCUCGGCGCCCCCCGGCGAGCGCGGACACCGCCCCCCGAGCCCCACUCCCUCCCGCCCCGACCGCCGGAGAGGCCGGGCGCCAGCUCACAAUUGGCUAAGGCGGCUGUCGCUCGGGGCAAGAGCGGAGGCCGGGUUGGAUGAGGCGGCUGUCGCUCGCUCCAAGAAGGGAGGUGGGAUGAGGCGCCCCUCGGAGCGCGGCGAGCAUCGAGCCCAGGCCGUGCAAAGGACUACGGGGCCCAGCAGGCUUUGCGGCGCGGACCGGACUACACCGCCCGGGGUGCAGCGCUCCGCUGCUGGCUUACGUGACCGUCCGAGAGCAGAGCCGGCAGCUGGGGCAUCACCCUGA